Molecule: ribosomal RNA, 253 nt
Filed under: uncultured bacterium
Lineage: Bacteria
Description: partial 16S ribosomal RNA
Rfam family: Bacterial small subunit ribosomal RNA
Source: RNAcentral
UACGUAGGCAGCAAGCGUUGUUCGGAGUUACUGGGCGUAAAGGGUGCGUAGGCGGCUUCUUAAGUCUGGUGUGAAAUCUCCCGGCUCAACUGGGAGGGUGCGCCGGAUACUGAGGGGCUAGAGUGUGGGAGAGGAAAGUGGAAUUCCUGGUGUAGCGGUGAAAUGCGUAGAUAUCAGGAGGAACACCGGUGGUGUAAACGGCUUUCUGGACCAUAACUGACGCUGAGGAGCGAAAGCAUGGGGAGCGAACAGG